GUGGGUUCUUGGGUGCCAAAGA
Molecule: microRNA, 22 nt
Filed under: Tetranychus urticae (two-spotted spider mite)
Lineage: Eukaryota; Metazoa; Arthropoda; Arachnida; Trombidiformes; Tetranychidae
Description: tur-miR-263b-3p
Gene: tur-miR-263b-3p
Source: miRBase by way of RNAcentral